AGAGUUUGAUCCUGGCUCAGGAUGAACGCUGACAGAAUGCUUAACACAUGCAAGUCGACUGGAAUUCUUCUUCGGAAGAUAGUACGGUGGCGGACGGGUGAGUAACGCGUAAAGAAUUUGCCCUUCAGACUGGGACAACUAACCGAAAGGUUAGCUAAUACCGGAUAUUAUGAGACCUUGGCAUCAAGGACUUAUGAAAGCUAUAUGCGCUGGAGGAGAACUUUGCGUCCCAUUAGGUAGUUGGUAGGGUAAUGGCCUACCAAGCCGACGAUGGGUAGCCGGCCUGAGAGGGCGAACGGCCACAAGGGGACUGAGACACGGCCCUUACUCCUACGGGAGGCAGCAGUGGGGAAUAUUGGACAAUGGACCAAAAGUCUGAUCCAGCAAUUCUGUGUGCACGAUGAAGGUCUUCGGAUUGUAAAGUGCUUUCAGGUGGGAAGAAGAAAGUGACGGUACCACCAGAAGAAGCGACGCUAAAUA
This 480-nucleotide ribosomal RNA is filed under the name uncultured bacterium. RNAcentral's name for it is "bacterial SSU rRNA". It matches the Rfam family "Bacterial small subunit ribosomal RNA", at positions 8 to 503 of the family's 1533-position model. The record is from RNAcentral.